RNAcentral lists this ribosomal RNA (746 nucleotides) under uncultured bacterium. RNAcentral describes it as "bacterial SSU rRNA". It matches the Rfam family "Bacterial small subunit ribosomal RNA", at positions 33 to 773 of the family's 1533-position model. The record is from RNAcentral.
ACGCUGGCGGCAGGCCUAACACAUGCAAGUCGAGCGGUAGAGAGAAGCUUGCUUCUCUUGAGAGCGGCGGACGGGUGAGUAAUGCCUAGGAAUCUGCCUGGUAGUGGGGGAUAACGUUCGGAAACGGACGCUAAUACCGCAUACGUCCUACGGGAGAAAGCAGGGGACCUUCGGGCCUUGCGCUAUCAGAUGAGCCUAGGUCGGAUUAGCUAGUUGGUGAGGUAAUGGCUCACCAAGGCAACGAUCCGUAACUGGUCUGAGAGGAUGAUCAGUCACACUGGAACUGAGACACGGUCCAGACUCCUACGGGAGGCAGCAGUGGGGAAUAUUGGACAAUGGGCGAAAGCCUGAUCCAGCCAUGCCGCGUGUGUGAAGAAGGUCUUCGGAUUGUAAAGCACUUUAAGUUGGGAGGAAGGGCAUUAACCUGAUACGUUAGUGUUUUGACGUUACCGACAGAAUAAGCACCGGCUAACUCUGUGCCAGCAGCCCGCGGUAAUACAGAGGGUGCAAGCGUUAAUCGGAAUUACUGGGCGUAAAGCGUGCGUAGGUGGUUUGUUAAGUUGGAUGUGAAAUCCCCGGGCUCAACCUGGGAACUGCAUUCAAAACUGACUGACUAGAGUAUGGUAGAGGGUGGUGGAAUUUCCUGUGUAGCGGUGAAAUGCGUAGAUAUAGGAAGGAACACCAGUGGCGAAGGCGACCACCUGGACUAAUACUGACACUGAGGUGCGAAAGCGUGGGGAGCAAAC